This is a long non-coding RNA of Poecilia latipinna (sailfin molly), 1429 nucleotides long. RefSeq lists it as uncharacterized. The record is from RefSeq and is a predicted model, not a curated record. NCBI's taxonomy places the organism in Eukaryota, Metazoa, Chordata, Actinopteri, Cyprinodontiformes, Poeciliidae. The transcript is spliced from 2 exons.
CUACAGCAUUCUGCUAAUUACUUAACUAUUUGAAGAAAAUAAACAGCCAAAAGUUGAAGGGCACUGGCCACAAAGACGAGCGUGAAACCUUUAAUGCAAGAUCAACUCAAAGUGAGGACAAGGAUAAAACUCGGUGCAGGCAAAGAAAGAAUCCAGUCACCUAAGUAUAAAUGUAGAUGUUUGUUUACAAUGGGGUUUUUUUUGUGUCUUUUUUAAAAAAAACAAUACCGAACAAACAUCACAAACACCAAGGAACGCAUCAUGAAAGUGGUGAGGCUGGGACAGGAGAGCAUUCGUCCAAGAAGCAGCCAACAGGCCCAAUGUACCAGCUGCGGUGAUCUGGUUGGACUUCUACACCAACUCUAAACCUGCAGCCGGAGCUACGAAUGGAACGGAGUAGAUCAAGGGGUAUUUGUAGGCCGGUCCAGACACAAAAGUCUGUGUGAAAAACAUUAACAUUUACAUGUAUGUGAAUUCUUCCAAAGAUUUACAAACGUUUGCUGCAGCAACACCAGUAGAGGGCAGCAUCAACACACUGUUUAUUUACUACUUGGGGUUCCUGCUGUUCAGUUUAUGUUUAUUUUUUUAUUUGAAGAGUGGGACAAGGAAAAAAAAAAUGGACAUCACACUACGUACUGGAGAUGUGGACGCAUUUUAUUCUCCAUCUGUCAGAGAUGUAGCAUUGAAAAGCUAAUGUCGGCAAGAAGUGGAGUGGGCUCAUUCAAAUACAUUUACCCCAAUCGCCACAUGCUGUUUGCUUAAGUUUCAGUCUCUUUGAAAAGGAUUUUGUGGUUGCUGCCAAAAACUCCCAAGGUAGAGCGCGGAUAAGCAUUUAUUCCACACGGUAAUAAGAGUGGAAUUCCAACUUUCCUGGAAAGCCGAUUUUGAGCUGAAAGUUGUUUUGAGGAUUACUGUAAAAGGUGUGAUUACCCCUCCCCCCACCCCCGACUCUGGCUGGUUUACAGUGGUUCAAAACAACUAAAAUAGAGCUUCGUCACAUCUGACUUGGUAAAUUACACAGCUUAUCACCUUAUUCCUAAAGGGCUGAUGGUGAUGAACGGAUACACGUCUACCAUCCAUCCUCUCAUGCAUGUAUUUUUCCAUCCAUCCAUCCAUCCAUCCAUCCUGUUUCACCCAUUCAAACAUUUUGGUUGUCCUUGUGCUCAUAAAUAGAAAAGUUUGGAUUGACGCAGAAAAAAAAAAAACACUUAGCAAGGGCUUCACAACUUGCCUCUCACUUUCAAAUUCAAAUCAUUCUUUCAAAAGCUGCAUCAUCAAAUGGUUUCCAACAAAGUGGUCCUUGUUAAGAAGGUGUUAUGUGGCAGAAAAGUAGGAUAUGAAAUUUACAACCCAGGCUUUAAUGCCGUCAUUACACCAAGAAGAAGAAGAAACUCCCAAAGUCUGCAUUAAAAGCAGGUUUCUAAAUGAA